This is a non-coding RNA of Danio rerio (zebrafish), 1145 nucleotides long. The record is from Ensembl. NCBI's taxonomy places the organism in Eukaryota, Metazoa, Chordata, Actinopteri, Cypriniformes, Danionidae.
UUCGGAAAACGAAGAUAAGGGAGUAAUGUCUAGCUAGGCUACUUAUAGUGGGUUAGGAUAGAUCUGAUUGGCUAACUAAUGAGUGUAGAUAGGUGGCCAGCUGCUGUCAAUUAUAUCACGUGCUCCUCUCGAAAUUAGUUUAAAAACUUCACAAAGAAAAACCCUACAUAUGGACAGAUAGUAGAGUACUUGAAGACCGAUCAUGAUGAAAUAUCCAAGGUCCAGUUCAUCAACUCUCAGGAGAAGGAAGUUGAUUUAGUCCCACAGCAAUUUGUGAUUAAACCUCAAGGAAUCAACAUUCAGAUUUACUUUGUUCCUCAGUUUGGUGGAAGGUUGAAUGAAGUUCACCAGAGUCAGAUCAAAAACUUUGAGUUAUUCCAGAUGAAAAUGAAGCUGAUUUUCUUUCUCCUAGUCCUCUUAAAGAACGGAAUGAAUCCGACCGAAGGACUCGAUGUCUUUUAUUUUUCAGGAAGAAUUACUUUAAGAUAUUUCUUUUACCCAUAUUAUAAUACAUAUGAAAUAAGUUGCUGUAAGUUAAAUCAGUUGCAGUGCUACUUCAUUGUGAACAACAGAGGACUAGUGAACCCUCUGUAUCAAGGAAGAAUAUCCAGCACUAUUUUCAAUGGAGUGUUCUAUGUAAUAAUUACAAACCUGACUGAAGUGGAUGCUGGCACAUACAGAUGUGGUGUUGGGAUCAUUAACACCUAUGAAGAUGUUCAUGUUACAGUUUCUGACUUACCAAAAGAAACCAUCAAACCAACAUUCUGGAGCUCUUCUUCAUCUACACCCAUUGUUUCAGAGCAACCAGCUGAAAAAUCCAGUGAUGGCUGGAGCACGUUCCACAUGCUGGCUGUUGUUUUAAGUGUUCUGGUGUUUGUGCUCAUCUCAUUGACUCUGCUUGUGUAUCGGUUAAGGAAGAAAAAAACAGAUAAAACUGGAACUUGUGGUUCUUCUAACAUCACCAUGGAGCAGGAUGAGACCGUUUACAGUAUGGUGGACUUCAUACCUCACCAGGAUCAAUGCCAAAUAUAUGUUAAUUUCCAGAUCUGUCAUGCAGAAGACACUGCUCAUUCAGUCAUAGCAAAAGAAAAUGUAGAAUAUUCCACACUUUCGCAACCGCUGCCAUAAACAUUUGCAAUUCCUUU